AUACAUGCAGUCGAGCGGAUUGAUGGGAGCUUGCUCCCUGAAAUCAGCGGCGGACGGGUGAGUAACACGUGGGUAACCUGCCUGUAAGACUGGGAUAACUCCGGGAAACCGGGGCUAAUACCGGAUAGUUCUUUUCCUCGCAUGAGGAAAAGUGGAAAGGCGGCUUCGGCUGCCACUUACAGAUGGACCCGCGGCGCAUUAGCUAGUUGGUGAGGUAACGGCUCACCAAGGCAACGAUGCGUAGCCGACCUGAGAGGGUGAUCGGCCACACUGGGACUGAGACACGGCCCAGACUCCUACGGGAGGCAGCAGUAGGGAAUCUUCCGCAAUGGACGAAAGUCUGACGGAGCAACGCCGCGUGAGUGAUGAAGGUUUUCGGAUCGUAAAGCUCUGUUGUUAGGGAAGAACAAGUGCCGUUCGAAUAGGGCGGCACCUUGACGGUACCUAACCAGAAAGCCACGGCUAACUACGUGCCAGCAGCCGCGGUAAUACGUAGGUGGCAAGCGUUGUCCGGAAUUAUUGGGCGUAAAGCGCGCGCAGGCGGUCUCUUAAGUCUGAUGUGAAAGCCCACGGCUCAACCGUGGAGGGUCAUUGGAAACUGGGGGACUUGAGUACAGAAGAGGAAAGUGGAAUUCCACGUGUAGCGGUGAAAUGCGUAGAUAUGUGGAGGAACACCAGUGGCGAAGGCGACUUUCUGGUCUGUAACUGACGCUGAGGCGCGAAAGCGUGGGGAG
RNAcentral lists this ribosomal RNA (734 nucleotides) under Bacillus sp. CH451a. RNAcentral's name for it is "bacterial SSU rRNA". It matches the Rfam family "Bacterial small subunit ribosomal RNA", at positions 51 to 768 of the family's 1533-position model. Lineage: Bacteria; Bacillati; Bacillota; Bacilli; Caryophanales; Bacillaceae. The record is from RNAcentral.